AUGGCAAGAGAAAGACAGGGGCAAGAACAAGGACGGCCAUUACAGCAACAACCCCCAGAAACUGUCUCCCCCUGCCCAAAUCCACCGUCCCUUGGGGACCCCUGCCCUGGGCACACGACCCUGCACAACCCUGGCACCCCUAAAUUCCUAUGGACAUCCCAUGGCCUUUCCAACACCGUGGGCACAGCAAUUCCUGGUGCUCCUGGGGAUGCACCACAGAGCCUGUCCCAGCAUCCCAGGGAACACGCCACGGCCUCCUGCCCAAUGUCACCAGGGGACACGCCAUGCCCCCAAGCCCAACCAUCCUGGGGGACACACACAGGCCCCAGCCCACUGUCCCAAGGGACGCACAGAGUGCACCGCCCUAGGGACCCCCACAGCCCUAACCCACCCCAGGCGAUGCCACAAUGUCCCUCCGUGACCCCCAAACAAGCCCGGACACGCCACAUCCCACCCCCAACCCAAGACAUGGCACAACCUCUUAGGAACACACAACGGGGGUCCCAGCACAGCCCCCCCCAAACACAACGAGCGUCACAUCCCAGCCCCCUCCAAAACACAGCGGGGGUCACACCGCAGACCCCCCCGAACACACAACGGGGUCACAGCACAGCCCCCCAAAACACAGCGCGGGUCACAGCGCGCCCCAAAGCGCGUCCCCCUCAAAGGGAGCCGGGCCCCUCGCCGUCCCCGUCACUCACCGCCGGCCCGGCCCGGCCCGGCCCUGCCGCCCCCGGCCCGGCCCGGCCCGGCCCGCUCCGCUCGGGGCCCGGUGCCGGCACCGCCCCCGCGGAAGCCCCGCCCGUUCCGGCGGCCCCGGUGCGCCCCGGGCCCGGUAGUUCGCGGGGCCGCCAUGAGCGCGGCGCGGCCCGGGCCCGCCGCCUCCGCGGCGCUGCGGCGGCUCCGCUCGGCCGCGGGGAACGGGGGUACGGACAGGGAACCGGGGUACGGACAGGGGAUAGGGCACGGACAGGGGAUGGAGGGUACGGGACAGGGGAUCGGGGUACGGGACAGGGGAUCGGCGGUACGGACAGGAGGAGCGGGGGUACGGACAAGAGGAGCGGGGCUUCUUGGGGGUACGGGAAGAGGGGAUCGAGGACACGAGGCGUGCGGUAG
Molecule: long non-coding RNA, 1116 nt
Filed under: Corvus moneduloides (New Caledonian crow)
Lineage: Eukaryota; Metazoa; Chordata; Aves; Passeriformes; Corvidae
Description: lncRNA (ENSCMUG00000017806.1)
Source: RNAcentral